GAUGAACGCUGGCGGCGUGCUUAACACAUGCAAGUCGAACGAAGCAUUUAGGACAGAUUACUUCGGUUUGAAGUUCUUUAUGACUGAGUGGCGGACGGGUGAGUAACGCGUGGGUAACCUGCCUUGUACUGGGGGAUAGCAGCUGGAAACGGCUGGUAAUACCGCAUAAGCGCACAAUGUUGCAUGACAUGGUGUGAAAAACUCCGGUGGUAUAAGAUGGACCCGCGUCUGAUUAGCUAGUUGGUGAGAUAACAGCCCACCAAGGCGACGAUCAGUAGCCGACAUGAGAGGGUGACCGGCCACAUUGGGACUGAGACACGGCCCAGACUCCUACGGGAGGCAGCAGUGGGGAAUAUUGCACAAUGGAGGAAACUCUGAUGCAGCGACGCCGCGUGAGUGAAGAAGUAAUUCGUUAUGUAAAGCUCUAUCAGCAGGGAAGAUAGUGACGGUACCUGACUAAGAAGCUCCGGCUAAAUACGUG
This 481-nucleotide ribosomal RNA is filed under the name uncultured bacterium. RNAcentral describes it as "partial 16S ribosomal RNA". It matches the Rfam family "Bacterial small subunit ribosomal RNA", at positions 28 to 507 of the family's 1533-position model. The record is from RNAcentral.